This 488-nucleotide ribosomal RNA is filed under the name uncultured bacterium. RNAcentral describes it as "bacterial SSU rRNA". It matches the Rfam family "Bacterial small subunit ribosomal RNA", at positions 28 to 529 of the family's 1533-position model. The record is from RNAcentral.
GACGAACGCUGGCGGCGUGCCUAACACAUGCAAGUCGAGCGAUGAAGUUCUUCGGAACGGAUUAGCGGCGGACGGGUGAGUAACGCGUGAGCAAUCUGCCUUACACAAAGGGAUAGCCUCGGGAAACUGGGAUUAAUACCAUAUGACACUUGGUAAUCGCAUGAGGACCAAGUCAAAGAUUUUAUCGGUGUAAGAUGAGCUCGCGUCUGAUUAGCUAGUUGGUGGGGUAAAGGCCUACCAAGGCGACGAUCAGUAGCCGGCCUGAGAGGGUGAACGGCCACACUGGAACUGAGACACGGUCCAGACUCCUACGGGAGGCAGCAGUGGGGAAUAUUGCACAAUGGGCGCAAGCCUGAUGCAGCGACGCCGCGUGAGCGAAGAAGGUUUUCGGAUCGUAAAGCUCUGUCCUCUGGGAAGAAAAAAUGACGGUACCAGAGGAGGAAGCCCCGGCUAACUACGUGCCAGCAGCCGCGGUAAGCAUACUCGUA